Molecule: ribosomal RNA, 1380 nt
Filed under: Penaeus stylirostris (blue shrimp)
Lineage: Eukaryota; Metazoa; Arthropoda; Malacostraca; Decapoda; Penaeidae
Description: partial 16S ribosomal RNA
Source: RNAcentral
AGAAACCGACCUGGCUUACGCCGGUCUGAACUCAAAUCAUGUAGGAUUUAAAGGUCGAACAGACCCUCCUUUAUAACUGCUGCAUUAUAAGGAAACCUUUAUUCAACAUCGAGGUCGCAACCCUUCCUGUCGAUAUGGACUCUCAAAGAAGAUUACGCUGUUAUCCCUAAAGUAACUUAAUCUUAUGAUCUCUAAAAGAGGAUCAUUAAUUUUCCAGAAAUUCCUGUUAUUAAAUAGCUUAAGAACAGUUACUCAUUAUAUUCCCGUCGCCCCAACGCAACAAAUAUUAUCUAAAAUCAAGUUAUACUAACAAUUUAUAAUAUAGAUAACUUAUUGUAAAGCUUUAUAGGGUCUUAUCGUCCCCUUAAGUUAUUUAAGCCUUUUCACUUAAAAGUUAAAUUCAAUAAAUAUAAUUGAGACAGUUUGCUUUUUGUCCAACCAUUCAUACAAGCCUCCAAUUAAGAGACUAAUGAUUAUGCUACCUUCGCACGGUCAGUAUACCGCGGCCCUUUAAAAUAAAUCAGUGGGCAGGCCAGACUUUACAUACCAAUCAUAUAGACAUGUUUUUGAUAAACAGGCAAAAGCAUUAUUUGCCGAGUUCCUUAAUUAUAUCUCAUAUUAACUAAAAAUUCUUUCUUAUUUUAAAUUGUUACUACACAACUUAUUUCUACUAAUAAAAUCAUUAUUACUUUCAAUGAUAUAUUUAUUAAAAGAGACAGAUAAUUACUACUAAACCUUCACUAUAUAAAUAUUAAUUAAUGAAUUUACAUUAACUAGAACGCUUUAUUAAUAUGGCUGUUUUUAAGCCUAAUUCAAUAAUACUUAAAUCCAUUUCAUUAUAGUAAACUUAUUAUUAGAAUAAGAAGCUCUUCCCUCCUACUCUUUAUUACUUUAAAGCUUUCUUCAACCUCAAAGCAACUAAAUUUAAUUUAAUUCUCUAUCAACCAGAUAUGAAAAAUCGACUAGCAUUUCACUACUAAUAUAAAUUUUAUAAUUUCAUUAAUACGAAAACUAUCUAUUUAUAUUAGCUCUUUCUCUUUCGGGAUUACUUAUCUUAUUAAGAUUAUUUUGAUUUUCCCUAAUACACAAGGUACAAGUGUUUAACUCUACUUUAUAUUAAUUAAAUUUUCAAUUUAUUUCACCUUUCCUUUACAGUACUUUAUUCUAUAACUCUUUUUAAUUUUUUUUCGAUUCACUCUACUAAAACAAUAAUAUUUCAAAAUAUUUUUAUUACUUUUAAAUUUAUUUAUUGCGGACUAUUUAUGUUAGCAAGGUUUAAUUUUCAAGAUGCAUUGAUUUGCACAACGAACUUCUCAACGUAAGUGAGAGUGCUUAACUGUUCAAGCUCCAUCUUGAAUUUCUAGGUACACUUUCCAGUAC